UUUCAUAUUUGAUCAUACAGAUGGUAAGGUCUCCAAUGUGCCAAUGAGGCAUGCGUCUGACGACUCAGCCAAAUAUGGAUUAAACGAGGCAUCCAUGUAUUGUAGCAAAUAAGGAGCGGAGAUGCAAGCUAGAGAAUGCAGCAGUGGGUGUUGAGGAUAGAACGGUUAAAGGCCAAAAUCAGUUACCAGCAGGGGCGGAUCUACAGUGUUAGGUUCGGGGGCUAUAUUAUUUAAAAACCAUUGGAAUAGCUGACUAUGGUAGAUUAGUUGGUAAAGUUGCCCCUGGUAAAAUCCUGCUCUUCACGGAUUCGAAUCAACACAUAAGUGUUUCAUUAUGGGACACAUUUUGCACUUCUUAACAGUUUAAGGUACAUGUUGUUGGAAGGACACUUUUUUCAUGAUUUGAUAAAUUUCGGACCAAAUUAUCCUUCACUGGUAGAACCGAAAUAUGAAGCUUAUUAGAGUUUUUUUUUUUAAUUAUGUCUAGUUAGUGGGGACCAAAGUGUUAUUAGAUUUCAUUUCCUAUUUUAUUUUUAUUUUCUCAGAUUUUAAGAUACACAUAAAAUAUAAUUGUUACAAUAAAUUGUAAUUUCUUUUUCUUGAUAUUUUAAGAUAUAUUUUCAUAUAUAUAUUUUAUAUAUUUUUAAAAUUAUAUAAAAAUACAUGGAUAUAAAAAUUGUGGACGAAAAAUGUUGUCCAAGAACUAAAAAUGUUACAAAGAAAUAAGAUGAAAGAAACAUACACAACAAUUAAAAUGUUAUCCAAGAACUAAAAAUGUUACAAAGAAGUUAGAUGAAAGAGGCACACACAAGAUGAAGAUAUAUGUGUGUGAAUAUAGACAAAAGUAUUGUGGACAGACGAGUGUAGACGUCGGGGUUGUGGACAAAAAUAAACAGAAAACAUGUGGAUGUGGAUGGCUGUGAGUUCUGCCCAUGAGUUUUACCAGCAUACCUCAGAGAACCAUUUUCCAAUUCCAAAUCACCGACUUUCAAACCUAUGCAAAUCACCAUCUUUCAAGCCCUAAUCUCAAUUAUAUCUUGGAAUGAUACCAAUCUCUCUCCAAAUACAGAUUCACCAUGUAAAUUUCUAUUAUCCGCCACCACCACUGUAUUUACCCCGUUCUUUACCCUAAACUUUGUCUUGUAUCCAAAAGUUCUUCCAGUUUCCUCUUUGCGAAAUUGCGGCCAUACAGCACCAGUUUUUUACUUUGAUUUUGCCAUGCUUUGAAAUAGUGAGAAAGAGGCGAGAAUAAUCGUCGAAGAAUAUCAGAAAAUUGAACAACCAAACUCAUGGAAAAGAAAUGAAAAGAUGGAGAUGAGAUUACAGAUUCAUAAUCGGCGGAGCAACCGAUUCUUGGUGUUAUACGAGAAACUGAGGAUGAAGAAGAAGAGGGUUCGAGGAGAUUAGAGUUAGAAAUUGGUGUUUGAGAAAUUUGGGAAAGCAAAUCUGAACUUUGAAAUAAAGUUGGAGAGAUAGUAUAUGUUAGUUUUCGAGAAGUAUAAAACUGGUUUAUACAUUUCUUUUUUUUUAAUUAUUUUUAAUUGAUAAUAGUUGAAAAAAGACAUUUUAGUUAGAAGAUAUAUGAUUAGAAAAGAAUGUAGUUAGUUUAGGGACAUAAAUGACAUUGCACAAAGAGGAAAUGUUGUUCCAACAAAAAGUGUUUUUUUGUGCAAUUUGAAAGAUAAAAAGUGUGCCAAGAGUAAAAAAUUCUUUUAUUAUUGAGAAGUUAACAUUAAAGGACACUUUAUGACUUUCGUUUGCAGUAGAAGAUACAUUGUGGUAGUAGGACAUAAUGUUGGGACAGCUGUAUUAAUCUGGACCAAAAAGACCUUACACUUGUGAUAGAAAGAGAAUGUCUCCUUUAAAGAAUCAACCGUAAAGAAACCAAAUUACUUUCGGAUUGUAAUAAAUGAAAAAGUUUCGAAAUUAAAAGUAGGUAUGGGUUUAUGGGAUUCUUUUGGGACGUUGGAUUAGCUUUUAGUUACAAGAUCUAAUGACUGAGAAACACUUAUCAGUUUUAGUCUUAAGAUUUAAUGGCUGAGGACAAAUCCAUGGAUGUGGAUAUAGGUUUGUAGAUAGAUAAAUGUUAAGAGAAUGGGUUAUAGACGAGAAUAAGGAAACAAAAAGAUAUUUAAUUUGACUUUAUUUUUUUAAGUAUUUUAGUUUCGCUCAAUAGUUUUUCUUUGUUAUUAUCUCGUAUUAUGAUAUGUAAAUUUAAUAUAUAAUAUAUGUAGUAAAUUAUAUUUUUUUUUCUUCUAUGUUUUGAGAUCCAUAUGUAUAUAUUAAUUUUGAUAUUUUACUUUUUAUAAAAUUUAAAAUUGAAUUAAGUGGACACAUCAUUGUGGACAUUGUGUUGUGGACAAUGUGUUGUGGACAAUGUGUUGUGGAUGGUGCAAUUUUAACAUAUUCAUAUUUUAAUUUUUAUAAAAUAUAAAACUGAUUUAAGUGGACACACUAUCAUGGACAAUGUAUUGUGGACAAUGCAAUUUGAGAUAAUGUAUUGUGACGACAAUGCAAUUUGAAAGAAUGUAUUGUGACAGUGCAGUUGAAAAGAAUGAGUGAUGGACAGUGCUAGUUAUGAAUGGUGUGUAUGUGGAAGUGUAUGUGCAGUUUGAAAGAAUGAGUUAUGGACGGUGCUAGUUAUGGAUGGUGUGUAUGUGGAAGUGUACGUUGAUUCGUAUAGGUGAUGACCAUGAUCUACUAAAACAACUAACCAUUUAGAACAAUAACAUUGAAAAUAAAGACACACACUGAUAUAGUUCUUUUAAAAGAGAAGAACAACAAAUAAUCAUUUAUGACAACAUGCUCAAAACAGCUUAACAUUGAUGAAGUAAUUCUUGAUACAACAAAACAUAUAUUGAUGAAAAUUUUCCAAGUCUAGGUGUGUGCACCUAUCUUUGAUUCCUCACCACUUCACAAUUUGUCUGACCACUGCUCGUCACCCAACCACAUAACCCCCAUCCACACAUCGCCCGAACACACACUAUGCAACAACUCCACUCCUGACCACACAUCAUCCGUCCACCUAACCUCUGACCAGGAAAUAACAUUGAAAAUAAAGACACACAGUGAUAUAGUUUCUUUAAAAGAGAAGAUCAACAAAUAAUCAUUUAUGACAACAUGCUCAAAACAACUUAACACUGAUGAAAUAGUUCUUGAUACAACAAAACAUAUAUUGAUGAAAUUUUUCCAAGUCUAGGUGUGUGGACAAGAGAGAUGUGGAGUUGUGUGGUCAGGAGUGGAGUUGUUGUGAAGUGUGUGUUCGGGCGAUGUGUAGAUGGGGGUUAUGUGGUUGGGCGACGAGCAGUGGUCAGACAAAAUGUGAAGUGGUGAGGAAUCAAGGAUAGGUGCUGCGGACGGUAUGUUCUGAUCACUGCUGAGAGGGGCAUAUUGCUGGAGCUCAUAUUGGCUGACUACAGGAAAUUGAGAACCGACAUAGACGUAUUUCCUCAUCUGGACAUCAUGUGAAUGUAACAGCAUAAGAGCGAAUUACAUAAACUUGUUCAUGUGACUACGUAGAGGCUUACACAAUAUGAAGAUAUAUGUGUGUGGAUAUAGACAAAAGUGUUGUGGACAAAUGAAGUUGUACGAGUUUCGUGGACCCAAUAAUCUUGAAUAAAGAUUGUUGAAAGACAAUGUGCAAUAAGACUUGUUUUUACAACUUUUUCCAAUCAUAUAGUUCGCUGUCUUGUCUCUGAUUUAAAACAGAAAGAAGUAUAUACAAGGUUAUUAAUCCUACAAAAAGUUUCGUGGGCAACUUCUUGUGGACGAGUUCUUUUUCAAUUUCCAGCUCUCCGACAUCCAUUUCAAUGCACCAUGAGAAGAAACAGAGUCUUUGAGUGAAACGGUGUUUCUGGAUGGCUCCGCCGUGUGAACUGCCAUGACGAGGUUAACGGACUUAGAUUUGACAGAGUGAUGAACAGUGAAGGAGGAUUGACGGUUGACGUGACGGUGAGAAAGGCCGCCGUAGAGAGAUCUAGUGGAGAGAGAGGAGGCGUUGGAAAGCUAUUGAUUUUUUUUCUCUGAGUUUGAUUUGAUUUUUAGAAAGAAAAUGAUAUGAAGACGAUUGAUGAAAGAAGAACAAUUUAUAAUUAUAAGAAGAGAUACAGAUGAUUUGACCGAAAAAAAGAGAUACAGAUGAAGACAAUUAAUGAAAGAAGAACAAUUUAUAAUUAUAUAGAGAAAUACAAUAGUUGGUUCGUGUCUUUUAAGAAUUUUUUUUCAGAUAAAUCUGUAAUAAAACGAAAAACCCAUAAAUCUGUCAAAAAAGUUAGAAGUCAGUCAGGUACAUUGUUUAGUUGAAAUAUAUAAGUUAGCUUUAGAAAGUUAAGUUGGAAGGUAUAAUAGACAAAGAAUAAGAUGAAAGUGUGUCUUAUGUGGGAAAUGACUCCAUGUAAUUGAUAAGUAAAAAAAUGUCUCUAAGUGUAAUUUUCUCUUUAUUAUUUUGUUUGGCAUGUCUAAUCUUGUUUUUAUUUCCCUCUCAAUGUACAAUUUAUUUGAUGUUUGACACGUCUACUCUUAUCGUAUCUUUCUUUACAGUUAUAACUAUAGCAUUUUCCCUACUUCAUCCUUUGUAUUUUUGUUUUCAUAGUUUUCUAUUAUUUUUUAUAUAUUUAUUUCGAUUGCAAGUGCUUACACCACAUUUAAAUACUUUUUUAUCCACAUCUUAAGUACUUUUUUAAUAUUAAACAUUCACAAUUGUUCGUAAAUAAAACCAACCAUUUAAAAUAAUAAAUGAUCUAUUCAUUUUUAUUUCAUAUUUUAGAGUUUAGUUUGUAUGAUAUGAUGAAAAAACAAGUUAUGUAUGAUAUUGAUAUAUUUUUAUAUAUAUGUACACUUGAAGAAUAUUUUCUACUUAUUUUCAAGUGUAAUAGAAUUAUUGUGAUUAAUAACAUUUGCAAAGAAGUUUAAGAACUUUUAAAGUUAUUUUAUAAAAAAAAUCCUGAGUUGAAAAACUUAACGUUAAUUAUUUUCACAUUCUGUAGAUGAUUAUUGUUAUGAUUAGUAGCUUUCAAUAUUUUCAAUAGAUUAUUACUUUAUACUUUAUAAAUUAAAUAAAUAUAUUAUUAAUUAUAGGCUCCCGUCAAAUAUUUGGUCUGGAUCCGCCGUUGGUUAGCAGGAUGAAAAUAUAAACGUAGAUGAUGUUAUAACAUACAUCAAUAUCAAUUUAUGUUAGAUACCGCGGAGAUGCAAGUAGAAAGCAAGUUGUCGUGAGAAAUCCUACUAGUGAUGGGGGUAAUAAAACAAUUGUAUAUCAUCUACUCAAGUAGUCUAUAUUCUCACCAUUCAUCAUAGACUUUCUCUUUUACUUAUUACAAAUUGUGAUUUGAGAUGAUGUCUAACAAUUCACACUUUCUUAAUCUACCAUCUAGCUUUGCUGCUGUUGUGGUUGUUGUUUGUCUGAGCUACCAAAACUGCUAAUGAAUCUCAUAGCCAAAUCCAAAAUUACUGUCUUGAUGCAGUCUUUAUCUUCCUCGAGAAGGUUUCUUGGAGGGAGUGAGCUUCCUGAACCCGGCGUGUAAUAGCAUAACUACAAAGAGACACAGAGAAAGCAUUAUAGUCAUAACUGCCUGGCCAUAUAUAGAGUAGCUAAAUCGAACUUUGACCCAUCAGCUAGCUUAGUUACCUGAAUAACUGACCGCAAGAGCAGAGAAAAGAGCCAUUUGGACAUUCAAAAACGUCAGAAGUACCGCAGUCGCUGCAAGUAGGAGACGUAAAAAAAAAACGAGAUUAGCCUCAUUCUACAACAUACAUAGUCUAUCUUAAAAAAGUUUCAGCUUCUUCAAGAUCCCAAAACGUUCUUGCUAUAACCAUACAAGAUCACAUUCGACCCAACUUUCAAAACAUAACAUCAAGCUCUAGUGAUUAAAGCUAAACAAGUAAAUCUAGGGAAUGAUUUGAUCCAAAAAGAUCCCAAAAACCUAUAGAAAGUCUCUCUAUGAACACAUAUCAAAACGUUCUCAGCAUUCUGAGAUUCAAGUUGCAGAGCUACAAAUGCAGGACACAAACCGUUCCUUAAAAACUCACCGCACUGUCCAAUACCAAUAACGAGCUUCCGAGCAGAAGGGUGACGAUCAAACUCCCAUCUGUCACUGCAGUACUUGAACAGCUCCCAAAGUGCUAAACUUGCUAACAACCCCACCAAUGCAAGUGGCAUCUGAUACCUACAAAGAAACACCAACACUUCAAACUCCACAAAGUUCCUAACUUUUUACAAAGAUUCAGACUUUAAACAAAAGAGAUAAAGAAACCCAUACAAUGCGCAAGCGAAGAAGACGAUGAACAACGUUGCGUAAUUCCUAGCGAAUCUCUUGAUGUUCUCAUGAACCCUCAUCCUCGCCUGCUGAGAAGACGCCGGGAACGAGUAGGAGUCGCACGCCCCGAAGAAACCGGUGGUCCACGGAGGCGUAUCGCCUGAGAAGUCGUCGGCGGAUAGCUUGGAGAAGGGGUUGAUAGUCAGAAGAGACAAAAGAGAGGCGAAGAAGCCGCCGGUAAUGGAGGAGACGACGUCGUCGGAGGCGGAAGAAGGUGCGGCGGCAGCUGAGGAGGAUGAGGAGGAGGCGGGGACGGCGGCUGCUGCUGCUGCGGCGGAGGUGCGGUGAUCGAGGAGGUCGAGGUAGCCGGAGUCACGGAGCCAAGAUUCGAAAGCAGGAUCGGGAACGCUUAGGGAGAGAGGGUUGGGAGAGAAGGCCAUUUGUUGUUAGUUGUGGUCGUCGUCACGAUUAUCUUGUUCCGUCGUCUCCUCGGUGUUCACAAAACAUUUAUUUUGUCUUUUACAUAUAUUAGUCCAUAACUUCUUCGCAAUUGCUGAAGUAGUGCUCUUUGAUAAAAUCUUGUUAAUUAGCUCCUACAGUUUUGUUUUAUGCAACAAAUGAUUUGCUUCUCUAAAAUACAUAUUAUUGAAUACAUGUAUAUUGUUUUAAACAUUUCAUUUCAUUAGUUAAAAGUAUUUUAUGUUAAAAAGUAACUUUAGAGCAUCAUUAACCCAAAAACUCACUCUGGGUCUCUUAAUGAUUUUUAAAUAUUAAAUGUUACUUAGGAGAUCCAGUUAAGAGACAUCAACAUUUUUAUGCUCCAAUGGGAGUCUCUUAUUUAGGGAUUCUUAAAAAAAAACAUUGUUUUUGAUUAUUGUAUAAUUUGUGAUCAAAAUGUAUGAAUUUGUGAUAAAAAUGUAUAAAAUUUUUUUGAUUAUUUUCUGAACAUGAGAAGAAUGGUAAGAGAAGAAAAGUUAUCUGUAUUGUAAGAUGCACGAGAAGAAAAGUUAUCAUGUAGAGAAUGGAGACACAGAUGUUGCAGGCUCCUCAGCUAUGGUUGGUUUCUUUGGAGGCACCGAGAGAGAUCCUCAAGGAAAGGUCCUUUAGCAGUAGGCACAUACACAGUUGCUAUGAGGAUAGUUCGAUUCUAUCACCACCAGCCACAAACUCUUCAUGGACGGCAAGUUCUCAUCUUUGUUGCAUUUAUCUGUAGCAAAUAUCAAGACAAAAGAUUAAAUAUGAGAAAUAUGGAUUAGGCAAAGCACUAAACUAAUCUUCACCUUUCGGUUUCCCGUAAUCAAAAACGAACAUCAAAAGAGCAUUAGCUCUCACACGUUGAAAAAUGUUCAUACCAUAAGCUAAACCAUGCUAACACUCCAUCCUCUAACCAAGCUAGACAAAAUGAUGGUAAGAUUCCAUUCUCUAUAGAAAGCUUCUCCAUUUUAUCAACCAUCCCAAUCUCGUUGUUUGUGAUCAAAGAAACAGAAGCACCAAAGCAAAAAAUCUAAUCCCACAUGAACUAACCAACCAACCAUAACAACCAUAAGCAAGCCUGCAUCACACCAAACCACCCAAUAACCUCAGAUAAAUAAAGCUGUCACAAGGACUUACGUUUUGGCUGUUCCUAUAAGAAUCAAGUGAUUAAAUGAGCCUGAUCUGCUGCUAUCACCAUUCUCUGACUCUACUACUACUACUGCUGCUACCCCUUUCUCAGGGUCUUUAUCACCAAACUUCUCACUAAUAGAGGGAUAUCCAUUGACCUCUCCGUUGGUUGAUGAAACCUCGUCGGCUCUAAUCUCUUUGAUCUCUUCCUAAACCUCUGCUUUAUCCACCUGAAAAGGACAAAGAACCAAAGAGUUUAGAACUCAAGAACACUCAACAAUCUUUUGUAAACAAAGAAGAGACAAUCAGAGUAACCAACUAACCAAAGCCGAGAGAAACUCAAAAGCUUAUACCAAAAGAUGGAGCCAUAUCCGAUUAUAAAGUUCAAAUUGGAAAGGAACAAGUAAAAAGGACAAGAACUUGAACAGAGACUAAAGGAGAAAUCAGAUUCAUACAAACAAGCAUUGUGUCUAAACCCCAGAGUUUCAGUUCUCAGACCACUCGCCAGAUAAACGUUAAGCUGGAAAGAAAACUAACCAUAUAUCUAACACCAAUUCAGAUCGGAAUCAGGUUUGGGAUGGCCUUGUGGAUUCAUCAUCGGGAGAGAGACAGAGACGAAGAGAUGCAGACGAAGAGAGGAAGAGAAAAGACGAGACUGCCAAUUUUUUUCAUAGCGACACGUGUCUUAAGACACGUCUCUUCUAUGCCUUAAUUAAGAGACGUCUGCUGUGGUAAUUAUGAUUUUUUUUUUUUUUAAAUCACAAUUACAUUAAGAGACCUAUCUAAGAGACACGGUUAAUCUUGCUCUUACAUGGUUCCCAAAAGCAACACUAGAAUUUUAAAUUUUAAAUUUUUGAAUAGUAAAACAUCAAAUAUAUGAUUUCACUGUUCAAAACUUCAUAUUUAAAAAUUUCAUAUUUUUAGUCAAAUGUAUUUAUAUAUCUUCUAGAUUAUUUUAUUAACUUUCUUGUUUUAUCAUUCUAAUCGUUAAAAAUUUACUACAAGAAAAUGCUCAAUUCCCAAAAAAAAAAUUAACUUGUAAUAAUUUACAAAAAAAAGGAAGUUCAUAUAUCAUUUUGAAAUGUUUUAAUUGAUUAUAUAUGAAAACAAUGGAAAUAUUUAUAAUGAAUAAAUAUGUAAGUUUUACUAUAAUAUAAUUUUUAAUAAUUGGUUAAUUGUAUAUUUUAUUGUUAUUAUAGCUGAACCAUAAAACCAUAUAAGGCACAACAAGUUAUGUGCUUUGGCUACAGGUUUAAACAGGUGGAAAGGAUCAUAUUCAUAAUCAAACUCACAUUGAAUUUACAAGAGGGGGGCAAAACACAAUGCAGAUAGUAUUGACAAUAUAAAAGUGAUUAUGAACACACGAAUUAUAGUGUGAGAAACACUUGCAGACAAACAUGGACUUUUAAUAUUUGGAAAUAAAAAAAAUCAAAGAAUCACAAGAGGCGCCUCAUCGGUUUUGGCAGGUGCAGUCUCUUGUGUUGGUGGCGUAGUCUCAGAAGGAACUUGCUCAUCUGCCUUCACAGCUUCUGGAGUUGGCUCGGCUUUGGUUGCCUCAGAGGAGUCCUCUUUUGUCUCACCUUCCUUCUUUGCCUCAUCAUUAGACUCUUCUUUCUUCUCCUGUGAAUCAAACAUAUCAUAAACAAUAGUCUUAAGAGGACUGAUUUUCAAGCUAUGAUUAUACCAAAAAAAGUCUCAAAGAAGAAAUCAAAUCAUAUCGAACAGAGAAAAUAAAUGAUACAAAUGGGAUUCACAAAACCUGAACUAAAGUGGUAUCUGUUUCAUUCUUGGACUCAAUAACAACAUUGUCGGUGGGGACAAGGCUUUCGACGAUGUCAGAUUCCUUAGGUUUGCUCCCACAGGCUCCCAUGGUUUAUUUGAUUGAAAGGAUUAGUUUGAAAAACAAUUACAAUGUGAAGAACCGUGGAGCAAAAAAAAUACUAGAUGAGAGGAGAAAAGAGAACUACUCGAGAAAAUAAGAGAUGCCAAACUAAUUUCUUGCUUUAUAUAAUUGGAGCCUGAGCAAAUGGAAAGGCCUGUGAAGAGAUAAAUAUAGGAGAUGGUAUAUGGACUAAGCUAUUUCAGGUAAAGCCAGAUUCAUUAGUCAUGACAUCUUCAAAUCUCUGUCACAGUCGAUUUACCCAGAGGACAACCAUUUUUCUCCACUGUUCUCUUAUGUUCGGUUAAGGGGCAACGGUUUCUUUUCCCGCUGGAAAUUUCCAAACUAACAAAGGAAUGAGUCACAGAUAACCAGACUUUCAUAUGUAAUUGUUAAGACCAAAUCAUGUGGGAAAACAUUUGGAUGUUCAGAUAUGUUUCCUAUUUGCCAAAUGUCAUAAUAUGAUAUUCAAGCCCUUCAAACGGGGACGACGACAGUGUCUCAUUUUUUUUAAACUGGAAAAGAUGAAUUUUCUGUUCUCUCAGGCACACACAUAGAAAUCUCUCAUUCUUUGUUUGGCUGGCUACUAUGGCUCCUCAGUGCGACUCUGAAGAGAAAAUACUGGUCCACCGGUGUGACCUGGUUUCUCUGUUUCGAAUGUUGUUGAGCCUGAUUGGUUUUUGGAGCCUUCUGAUAUCUCUUUCUCACCUAUGUCUUCCCAGUCACCUUCCAUUGCUGAUGUUUCUUGGUGUUCACUCUUUGGACCUUGGUUGACAAGGCUUUUGUACAUUGUUAAAGCUUGAGCAAUCAUGCUUGCAGGAUUUGAAGCUGUACUUGGAAGCAACAUUGUCGUACCCUAAACCCCCAAAAAAGAAGAAAAAAAAAGCACACUCAACAUUAGAUAAGCCCAAGCAAUGCCAAAAUAUUUUAUAUGAGAUUUGUUUGUUUACCUCCUUGGCAAUGUUACUGAAGGCUUGAAUGUAUUGCUCUGCAACUCUCAAACUCGCAGCCUGCAAAUUGAACAGUGAUGAAGUAUAAGAUCACAUCUGGACGGCUAAAAAUACAAGCUUAAACCCAAGAACACGGAAACCUAUGUCUAGAGUGAAUAAUAAAAAAACUAUGAAGAAUUAAGUAACCAAGCUAGGUUCCUUAAAGCUCACCUCUACUCCCCCAGUUUCUUUGAGAGACUGAGAUAACAUGGCAAGGCCUCUAGCAGUUGCUUCUGCUCUAGCGAGUAUUGCUUCAGCCUCACCUGAAGAGCAUUAUCAAAGGAUAAUAUAAGAGUGAGCAUGAGCCGUGGAGAAAACAGUUCCUCUGGGCACCAAGUAGCCAUCAGUAUAUAUUGAAAGAAUAAGAAAAUGGAACUAAGAAUUCUUCUAAUGAACCCAACUAACAGUUGACAUCACAAGUUACUCUAAUGUAUACUAACCUUGUGCUCGAUUCACUUGGUCCAUCUUUGCAGCUUCAGAUGCCAAGAUUACAGAACUUUUCUUACCAUCAGCAAUAUUGAUAUGGGCUUGCCUUUCUCCUGUUAUAUAUAGCAAAACAAAGGAUUAAAAGAUGUUAAGCAGGCUUCUUGUCUUUCAAAUGCAAAAUGGAAAACCCAAAAAGAAGAAGAAGAUUUUAGCCAAGAAUAGUUUCGGCAUUAUGAGCUGUUCAAUCACAGAAUAUGACUUAUGAAGUACAAGUCAAAGCAGUAUUACCUUCAGACUCAAGAAUCUGGGCUCUCUUUUUACGUUCAGCUUCAGCUUGCAUCUCCAUAGCAACCCUCACGCCAUGAGGGGGCAUAAUAUCCCCUGGAGAUACACGAAUUAUAAAUAAGCAGAAAAGGAUAUGUAGGUAAUCACCAACAAAGAAAAAACAGAGAAGAACUCACUUAUCUCAUAACGAAGACACUGAAGACCCCAGUCUCUUGCAGCAACAUUGAUGGCUUCCUGCAAGAAUGUAAAACCGUCUAAAAAAUUCCAUCACAUGUGUUCUUCUUCAAUGUGUAUAUUUCCUCUAAGCUCUCUUAGUUAUUUGGAUUAGAGAGGUAACACAACUUGGGAUAUUGAACAUAUACAACAUGAGUAAAGUCUUUAGCUUUGAAUCUAAAGUCCUUCAACUUAGCUCAAGUAGAAUCCAAAAACAUUGCCAAAGGUGAUUACAUUUUACAACUAAACAUCCCAAGGCUGCAAAGUUCUAUAGAGAAUAAUAACAGCAAGAAAUUUAAUCAAGCUAACGUGACUUGAGUUUGGGAGAUUUCAAGAUUCUUUGAAAUGCAAUGGAACUGAAGUAUAAAGUGAGUUAAGUAAGCAGAGGGGAACGAACCACAAUCUUCUCGUUGAGAGUAUCUCGUUCCUCAAAGGUCUUAUCAAGCGUGAUCUUACCAAGCUCACUACGCAUGGUGGUCUGAGCCAGCUGAACAACAGCAUAGAUAGGACUCUCAACGCCAUAAGACGCUAACUUAGGAUCCACUAUCUGCAAAACACACAACAAAAAGAAAUAAAUCAAAACUAUAUAAAAAAAAGCAAGUAAAACCACCAACAAAUGAAGUGGUAGAAGAUGACCUUGACAUAGAGAACGCCGUCGAUGUGUAUGCUAACAUUGUCUUUAGUAAUCGCAGUCUGAUUAGGAAUAGGGAUCGCUUCUUCCUUGAGGGAAUGAACAUAAGCAAUUCGAUCAACGAAAGGAAUCAAGAAGUGAAUCCCCGACGGUAACGUCUUGGCGAAUUUCCCGAAUCGCUCAAUCACAAAGGCCUUCUUCUCCGGUACAAUCCGGACUCCCCAGUUCACCGGCGGAGUUAACUGAAAGCUACAAUGAUAAUAUAUAAAUAUAAUAAAUCAAUCCCCAACUCAAAUCUCAAUUCAGAAAUGAUAAUGCCUCAAACAUCGUUCGCAUGUAGACGAAAUCAUCCUAAGCUGAAAAAAAACCUGUUGGAAGGAUAGCCGGCGGAGGUGAACUGGCGGACGGUUGAUACGGCGGAGGAAGAUUGCCGGAGGUAACCAACGGAUCUCAUGGCGGUGGCGGAACUUUUACGGAGGAGGUGAUUCAUCAUCAUCAAUCAGAGAAUGAAGAAACUGGGGAAAAACCCUUUGGAAGCAAAACCUCGUCGUGGACCAAACAAGGCGUCGUCCCGCAGUUUUCGUGGAGAGGAGCAAAUGUGAAAUGGGUUUGAUUAGUAGUUUGCUAGCUGUUGCUAUUGGGCUCAGAACUAGCCCAAUUGUAAACCAAAGUUUUGCAAUUUUGUUACGGUUUGAUAUUAUAUAGUUUUCUUAUGUUCAUUUCAUUGAUUCUGCCUUGUGUGCACUGUGCGAUAGUCUAAUAAGGACAUAAUAGUUUUUUUUUUUAAAUAUAAAUAUUUAUUAAUCUACCCGAGAAUCGGGAAUUUCAGAUCCAGUUACAAACCCGUUUCGAACAAAAUUUCCAAAAUCAACCUAUUACAACACUAGCUUCGCCCGCCCAUUAAACCCGGCACAUUCCGCUAGUCCAUUUAUCGGUUUCCUUUGAAAUCGGUUGCCGUUCUCUACCAUCAACGAGAAUCAAGAGAAGGUGAGGUUCUCCUUGUUGCCUCGGAUGUCGGGACUUCCCGUGUCGUCUCUUCCGAUGAACUCCACCGAGUUUGUAACCAUUACUGACAAUGAAGCGCGAGACAACUAAUAGGGGAGUGUUUCGGAUACUUACCACGAGCUUUGCAAGCCACCAAAGCCGAGCUUGUACGCAACGUCACACAACGCUUGAAACCAUCUCCCAACCCGAGCAAGAGCUCGCUACUGCCGCCACCAAACCUGUACUACCAAAAGGGCCGGACCUCCAUGCCACACACCGACCGAGAAGACUCUAACGACUAGCACAAAUGUCAGCCAAGCAACACUACCGAUGAAGAAUCAAAUGAUCUUCUCUGGUACUGGGAUGUGAGCUAAGCACAAGAGGGACACCGCCGCGACCAUGACGAAAGUCGGGACGUCCCUUGCCGCCUUCGAAAACCGAAGAAGCAGUGACUGUAACUCGCAAAAUAACCACCGGUGUCUACGGUGAUAUGAAUAGAGCUCAAGAGAACAACCUUAGAAUAAGAAACUGCCACAACCAAACCAAGGAUAGUUGCUAAGUACAAGAAGGAGAGAAUAGUUGUUCUUAUGCUUGUUAAGUUUCCUGUGUCUAUAUGUACAAUUUGCAUAAAUAUUAUUCAAGUGUCAAUCUUAUCAAAUUGCAUUUUUUUUAGGUUCUCAAGGACAUAUGUUACCUUAGGGCUCGGUUUCUUUGUUCUCUUAGUUAUAUACUUACUCCUCUGUUCAUAAAAGAUAAAUGUUUCAAAAUAAAAUUUUAUUUUUGGAAAAAUGUAUGUUUAAAAUUUUUUUAUGCAAUUUUUAUUAGUCAUUAUAAAUGGGGAACUGUAAAUUUCAAAAACUUAUUUAUACCUUUUGAAAUACUAUUAGUUUUAUAAUUAUGGAAAACUGAUAAAUAUAUAAGAUAAUAUAUUAAUUAACAAAAUUUAUUAAAAAAUUUAUGGGUGUAAAAACACAAAAACAUAUAUCUUUUCCUAAAAGAUGGAGUAUUUUCUUUGUUGUUAAAGACCUUUUCUAUGAGUUGCCAUAGUAGCCUUAAAAUGUGGUGCGGAGUUAUACCAAAUUUCAAGAACCAUCAAAUUAGUGAACGUAUUAAACUAAGAGAAAAAAAAAUCAAACCUGAGUAGUAUUUCUAAUUUUCUAAAAAAGAGUUAUCAACCAAUGUUCUUGAUUAUCUAAAACACUUCUUCGUGUGUUUAUAUGAGUUAUAUUAUCUAUGUUGGAAAGCUAAUUUAAUUUCAGAAUGCAUGGAAAAAGUGAAGUUUAUAAUGGAUUUCACAUGGUGAGGCCUCUGUCUGAGUCAUCAAGAUCGGCGCCGUUCGACUUUAAUUAAGAUACCGCGUCAAGAGAAAAAAAAAGAAGGCAAUAGUUAAAGUUUGGUAAUGAGUCUAAUGACAAACCUCAUUUCCACCUUUCAAACAUGUCCACUCUUCAUUAUGCAUCCACGUCAAUCCCAUGCAUCAACCCUUUACGUGUCUUAGAAUAAUAUUUUAGAUAGUAGAAGUUUCAGGUUUGCUUGGAUGAGUCAUUUCACAUAUGUGCUAGAUUCCAACCGGAAAUGUACGUAGAUCUAUUCCCAAGAUUUUUUACGGUCUUGCUCCAUGAGUUCCACACUCAUAGUACUGAAACAAUAGUAAACAGCCAUGCAUGUGUGUUUUGGGGCAAUGCUAUUAGACCAACACAUCUUCCAUUGAGUUAAUUAAAAUAAAAACUCUUAUAAUUUACAUAUGAUGAACAAAAAAAUCAAAUGCAUGUAUGAAAAGGAGAGUUGAUCAUGAGAGCCAGCGGUAUGGAACUUUAAAGAAGUAUAUGUUGGUGAUUAGUCUGAAAUAGAAAGGGGAUAGAAAACUCGCACGUUCGUUUUCUUGACAUUUGUUUUAUAAUAUGAGACUUUGGAUUUUUUGGCGGAAUCGAUUCUUGAAGCAUUCUUUUAUGUUUUCCUGGUAGAUUUGGUUUUGGCUUCAUACGGUGGCAAGACAAUUGAUAUUUUUUGCCAGAAUAUUCUUCUGAAAAUAUAUUUUGGGUAAUAUUCUUGUUUUGUACAUAAUUUUUAUUCAAAUACUUUUAGCCUUAGAGAAAGCAACAAUAUUGGUUAGAAAACCAUCUAGAGUAGAAACUUUAGAAAUACAUCUUUGUAGUGUUGGAGAAGAAAAACGGCUUUUUAUGUUAACGUCGAGUAUUUUAAUUCUUCAUAUUCUCUUGUUUUGUUUUUUUUUUUGAGCAAAUUUCUCUUGUUUUGUUAUUCGUGUGUAUUAGUACUAAAAAGACAUGAUAAAAUUCUCCGGUCUAGUUUGAAUUUUUGUAACCAGUUGAUAAUUUACAUCUUUAUCACUCUGAUUAGUGUUAAGUGUUUGUUGCUUUUGAUCUCAACCUAAUCUGAUUCUACACUGCUACCGUAAUGUCAAAAAAAUAUUGGAAUAUUUUUUCUCUGUAACACAUCAGAUUCAAAAGGCAAAGAUUUUUCAAUAUUUGAGCCAAAAACAAUGAGAUUUUCGACGUUGUACGUAAAAAGCUCAUAAUGGGCCCAAAUCUCCAAUCUCGAAGGUUGCCGGGAUGUCUACAACAACCGCCGUCAGAUCUACUGGAUGUUCAUCAUCAGAAGUUAGAUUGCCAUAAUUCAACUCUUGAGUUACCACCGCAGGUUCAACCGGACUAUAGCGCCUAGAGAUUAGGGAGCUCGGCUCGUUAGUUUGCAACAGACGUACUCUCGUUCUGCAUAUAGGACAAGUAGCGUGCGACUCAAGCCACGGGUCGAUGCAACGAGCGUGAAACCAAUGUUUACAGCUCGGUAAAAACUUGGCUUUGUCUCCGUCAGCGAGCUCAAAGAGGCAAACGACACAUUUAACACCGUCCCUUGCGUUCCUAGAGUUGAAAUCUACGACGGGGAUUGAUCGGAGGAGGACAGAGGGAUUAACACCAGCCAACUCCUUGAUGUUGAUAAUGACAUGGUCAUCGCUGGUACCAAUACCAUGAUCUUGAUGAUCAUUCUCGUCGUUAUCAUCAACAACAAAAUAGCGUUCAUACAACAGUCCAAGGAACCCAACCAAAACUAGAACGAUACCAAUCAAGAAAUCUGUAUGAUCACCACUAAGAGAACCGUCAUACAGUUGAGUUGAUCCAAGCAUAAAAAUAUAGUAAACAUACAGAGGUAUUUUAUUGUGGUUCAUCUUCGAAUCCCACAAAGCAAUAGAUGUGUUUUCUUUACAGAAUAGCGGAAGGGGAAAGGAUAAUAAAAUUUAAUUGAGAAGUACUAGUGAUUUUGAUUAGUUUUCUAUCAUGAACAUACAGACAUGUAUUUAUAGGUUAACUCCUACCGUUAUUCUUAAAAGGAAAACUUACUAAACUUGAAUCAAUUAAAAAGGUAAAAGUAAGUAAUUUCCUUAUUUGAAAUCGUUAACCAAACCAUAACCAUAAAGACGGAUUUGGGUUUGACUGGCCUUAAGAAAACGUGACCUUAACUUCGUAAACUUGUGAAAACAUGACUUUAGAUAUUCUAAUUCUUUUUUGGACUCUAUGUGUCUAAAUUUACAACAAAAGCUUUUAUAUAUAGAUACUAAGAAUUGCAGAAAAAAUAUUUUUUAAUAUAAUAUUUUUAUCUUAAGAGAAAAUUUUAAUUUACAUGCGGACAUCAUUUUUUUUAUAUUUAGACUUCAAUGGAUUGAGAAAAGAUCAUUAAUGUAUUUUGUAGUCUUAUUUCUUUUGAUUUAGUUUAAUUAUUUUAAUAUGAUUUUAUUUAAAUUUUAGAAAAAUUAAAAUUAGAAUUCAUAGAACUAAUUUUUAUUUAUAUUAUUUUAUGUUUAAUGAUUAUUUAUUAUAUAUAAUAUAUAUAUAUAUAUAUAUCUUUAUCACCUAUUAUAUAUAUAUAUAUAUUUAUAUUUAAAUAUAUUCUAAGAAAUUUUGGAUUUUUGUUUGUUUUAGUCAAAGUAUGUUAAACCGAGAAAAAUCAAUUUGUUAAUAACUCAAUGAACCGAUAAAUUUAAAUAAAAUUUUACUCAUUUACAUAUAAUUUUUGUUUUUUUUACUAGUGUUGUUUUAGUUUUGUAUUUGUUGAUGCACACUUACAAUUAGUUUCAGUAAAAUAUAUAUAUAUAUAUUUAUACAAAAUAUGAUAUAUAAGUUCGUGUAAAAACUUAUAUUCGUAACUAUAUUUAAUAUUCAGCUUAUUUUUUAUUAAUGUGAUAUAUAUAUAUAUAUUAAUUUAAUAAUGAUAUAUGAGUUAUUUGUUAUUAAUAUAGUUUAAUAGUCGUGAUAAAAAAUAUAGUUUAAUAGUUUUGUCAAAAAAUAAAUAUUUAUAUAGAAAAUUUACAUUAAUGAUAUAGGAGUUAAUAGCUAUUACCAUUUUGAAGAAAACUUACAGAAAAAUAUAUAAACUUUAUAAGAAAAAUUGUACAUGUCACAAUUAUGUUAGUAUCAUGUCACAUGUUUCAAAGUCAUGUCAUAUUUUGUUGAAAUUGAAUGUAGUAAUGCACAUGCAAACUGCUCAACAAAUAAUGUCUAACAAAUAAUGUCUAGGGGAUAUAUAGCUAGUGUCAAUGUGUGUUAUGAAUGCUUCUACAGGCCAAAUAGCAUAUAUGAGUCUAUGACUGAACCAGACAUUCGACCGGCACUCUCAUAAGAUUUGGCGUAAACUACAAGGAUUUUUUUGUAGAUAAUGGAAUAUGGUUUAUGGCUCUAACCUUAAGCUACGUGAAUUAGGAUCAUCUAACCACUUGAAAUAACCACAAUACUAGACUAACAAACAUGUUAUACAUUGUCACUUAAGAUAACGUUAUCGAUCUAUCUAGAGAAAAAAAACAGUUUUUAAAGAAAUAAACAUGUAUAUCGAUCUAUCUAGAGAAAAAGGCAGUUUUUAAAGAAAUAAUUUGAUUUUAUAUUGGUCAGGUUUCAAAAGAUUCAAGUCUAAGUUUUCUUUAUGUGGGGAUAAAGGAAAAGAGGAACAUACAACAUGGGAUCCAAAGUCCAAAGAAAGGUCUUUAUGGUGAAAGCUUAUUGACAAAGAAAAAAAGUGGUGACACACUUUACACUAAAUCCAAGUCAUUAGAUCUUAAAGAGCUUACAACAUGACGACAUCAACAACAUGCACCUCAUGAUCUCUUCUGCUCCUCUGCAUCUAACCCCAGUUACUGUCGUCAAUGUAAAUACAUGUACCGCAUAUUCAUACAUAUGUGUGUGUAUCUCUUUCUCUCUCUAUAUAUAUAUCUAAGUGUGCAUGGUUCGAGUUAGAAACUGGAAAUCUAUUAAAACACAUAUAAGCUAUAAUGGGUGAUCUGCAAAUCGUGCCAGCAUACAACAAGGUGGAAGCACAAUACGUAGAAAUGAUGGUGCCAUUGUACUCUUACGGUUGUGAGAAGAAAAUUAAAAAGGCUCUUUCUCAUCUCAAAGGUAACUAAUCAAUAGUUACUAAUGAUUUAAAUUCCAUGUUAUGUAGAAGAAGCUUUUAUUUAUUGUGUAUAACUUAUUAAACAGGAAUAUAUUCAGUGAAAGUAGACUACUACAAACAGAAGGUGACUGUUUGGGGGAUAUGCAACAAGCUUGAUGUGUUAGCAAUGGUCAAAAAGAAGCGUAAAGAAGCUCGUUUUUGGAAUGCUGAGGAGAAUGAUCAAGAGAGCGUGGAUGACUCCAUCGUCCAGAAAGAAGACACUGUUAAAACUUCGUCUGAUUCAGAUAAAUCAUCGGCGUUCUAUACGUAUUCACCGUCGUCUCCGAGGUUUAAGAGACCUCCUUUGUCACUCAUUAGAACAUCUUCCUUCACAUGGAAAGCUGUGAAGAAGGUCUUCUCUAGAUCCAUUUCCUUUUGAAUCACAUUUUCUUCUUAUAUGAACCUAAUAAUGGUACAAGAAGUCACGUAUCUGUCAGUGUAUAAAUAUCAAAUAUUGUAGUUGAAAACACUCGUCAGCAACCAAUAUUUGAUGGUAGUUCAGUGGUCAUGGCUUUGUUCGUCUAUUAUAUGUUUAAAAUCUAUGUUUCUAGACAUGUUUCUUUCCUACUAUAUAUAAAAUAAGCAGUUCUAGUUGAUAAGAGCGCAGCUAUAGUGUCUCAGCGAUCAUUUUGUUGUUUCAUGGUCAAAUAUCAUUUUUUGUGGAACAAAACUUGUAUCAUCCCAGUUGUGGUAAAUAUAGAAUGAAUUAAAAAUUAAUUUAGCUACUUAUAUUAAUAAAUUGCAUAUUUCUUUUUGAACACACAUCCAAUAAACUUCAAUAAAAUUCUAGAAUUAAAUGUUUUUGAGUUAAAGUAGUCAAAUGAAGAGUGACCUAUUAUGAAUUGAUUCGUGAUAUUUGGAAAAGAUCAUAUGUAGCUAUUUUCAGAGAUUAACAUAUCUCUCUUUGCAUAAAAUGGAAUACACGGACUAAGUAAGUGGGCGUGGAAAACCUAUUAGCCCUAAAAACUGUUAACUUUAGUCAAAAAUGUAAAUAUAUUUGGUAUGUCGACAUAUAUAUAUGUAUGUAAAUGAAGAAAUCUUCUUGGUUUAGCAUUAUCUUUUUGUGAGUAACUGAUUAACACUGGAAGUGGAAGCUGUUAACUUUAGUUAAAAAUGACGAUAGUUUUAAAAAUCUUGUUUGAAAUGUUCAAAAAUGAUGAUAAUAGUAUAGUUUAACAUCAAUAUCCUGUCAUCAUGAGGUGUGUUGAUUCUGUUUGCACCUAAUCUUUAUACCUUUUCGGAAAGUUAAUCAUGUGAUCGAAAGAUGGUUUUUUCUCAAGAAAAGAUACAAUUACGAAUGAAGUUAAGUAACAAAAUCAAAAUCAUAUUUAUUCAUUUAUCCUUAAUCAUUAUGAUUUGUAAAUUUAGAACGCACGUCAAAAUUGGGGUUAGUUAAAGACUUUUAUUCGUUUACUUUAUCGUCUCUUAGAUGAGAUUUCCCUUUCCCAUAUAAAUCAAAUUGUUGGUUCAGCUGUUGAUCGUUUGAUGGGAACAUAAAAUAUUGUAUAGUUUUGACUUUCGAGUUCAUGAAGCAUUCAUUAUCAUUUUGGAAUUUGAUCGUUUUAAUUAGGCGAAUCAUGAAACUUCAAGUAUAACUUUUGUUGCGCAAGUUUUAAGUCCAUUAAGAUAAUUGUCUUAAGAUAACUAACUAUGGGCCCAACGGUUCAGAAAGAAAGAGAGGCCCAUUUCUACUGAAGUAAUAUAUCAUUUCUCCCACAUCGCUAAGCCGAAAAGAAGACGCUGUAUUUAUAUAGCAACAUAGUCACGAAGGUGAUUGUCCCUUCGGGGAUAUCCGAUAAAAUUGGAACGAUACAGAGAAGAUUAGCAUGGCCCCUGCGCAAGGAUGACACGCACAAAUCGAGAAAUGGUCCAAAUUUUUUUUUUCUUAAAAUUUUCAAAAUCGAUUUCGUCUUCUGAGUUUAGGGUUCUUCGAUUUCUUUUUUUUUUGGCAUGCAAAACCUCUGUUCUCGAUGAAUAAAGCAGUCAAAUCAGUUCGUUGCUGGAGAUCCGAUGGUCGGAAACGAUGUUCUACGCCUCUGUUAUUUUAUUUAGAAAUCCCGGCGUCAAUGUGUGAACUAAAUUCAUCCGGUUAAAAAGAAAAUAAAAUUCAUCCGGUUUGUUAAUCGGUUCAAAUAAGCGGUCAGAUCUGAAUCAUGUGCAUUUUAGCUCUGAAAGCUAAACCGGGAAGCUGUGGAAGUGAUACAGAGCUUUCAGCAUUUUCCAGUGAUGUUUGAUGCAAUAUGUAACACGGUUUUCAAGACCUUCGUUACGGCUCCAAUUCAAUGUUAACCGGAGAAGUAUAGACCAAAACUAAAACCAAUUUGAUUUCAGGAUGGAUAUGGUUUGAAUACUCAAAGUCCUAAUCAGUUUUAAGACGAUGACACAGUUAGGCUGAAAACUUAUGAACAAUUCGGUGAUAAAUCCUAUAAGUUUCAUACUCUGUUGGAAACACUUUGCGUAUAUAUAAAUGUUGUGAAUAAAGGCUUAUAUACAAAAAAUGUUACAUACAACAAAUAUUCCAAAUGUUUCCACUAAACGAAAAAAAAGAUGAUUACAAGUCAUUUGCAAAAGCACCACUGCUACAUAGAAACAAAAGAAUCAUUGUGGAUCAAGACCCAACAUCAGUUCGAACACCAGAACUUUUGAUAAGGAACUCAUGUGACCUUGCCAGCCUAACCGCGUCUUGAACCCUUAGCCUGGUUCCUUGUUGGCCCACCACGGUGGCUGCAAUCGUAGCUGCCAAGUCUCCCAUUCCUUUCAAGUCAGUGACACCUCUCAAGAUACCGUAUAAGAUCCCCGAAGCGUAAGCAUCUCCAGCGCCGCACGUGUCUACUGGCACGCACGUGGAUGGAGGAAUGUAUAUGGCUUCUCCUUUAACUCCAAUGUAUGACCCGUUGAUUCCGUCGGUCACUGAAACAAAUGGGACAAAGUGGCUCAAGUACCUUGUCGCUGAGAUUGGGCUUUCGUCUGCGGAGAAGUGACAGAACGCUCUUGCUUCAUCGCUGUUGGCAAAUAUAAUAUCUGCAUAGUUGCCCACAAUGUCCCUGAAUCAAACAACAAGUUCACCAAUUUAGAUUCUAGCUACAAGAGCAAAUAUACACAAGAAUGGAUAGAAGGAGUAAAAAGCUCACCAGAAAUCAUCGUAAUGCCUUUCUAUGCAAGACACAUCUGAUGCAGUCACAGCAACAAGUGCUCCGUUUCUGUGGGCUUCUUCGCAGGCUUUUGUGAUGGUUCUAAUAGUAUCAGGAAGCUCAAACAGAUAGCCUUCCACGACAAAGACAUUUGUUUUGGAUAUCAAACUAGCCAAGCAAGAAUCAUAAUUAACGACUGAAGAUGUUCCCUGAAGAUUAAUGUUGUUUAGUAAUACGCAGCAAACAUUUGGAUACUCAACGUGUUGCAAUAAGAAAUGGUACCUGAUAGGCAAGCAUAGUACGUUGUGCGUCAGGAGUGGUGAGAACAAUCACUGUUCCGGUUGUUCCAUCCAUGAUUGGAGCAGAUAGAAAAUUUACAUUUGCUCGUCGUAGUUUAGUCCUAUAGAACACAAGAUGGACUGCCCUUGUUAGUAAUUUAAACCAAACACAAGUUAAAAAAAAAGAAGAAUCAUAAGAACUAACCCCUUUAGAUCAAUACACAAUCUGAACAAACUAUAGUCUACUCUAGUUAAUCUAAUGAUAGACAUAGAGGUCCACCACUUAUGCCAAUUACCAAAAUGUGAAACUGAUCAUCAGUUCCAUGGAAUGAUUUGAUAGUCUAUAUUACUAACAUAAUAUAACCUUCACUUCCAACAAUGAAGAGAAGAAGAAGGAGAUGUGUAUACUUGGUUGAAGAGAAAGUUGUGUACCUGUAAAAGCUACCGAGAGGGUCACCUGCAAUACUGCCAGCCAUAGCGACAUUCAAAGGCCGGUCACUGAUGGAACGACAGCCUAAUCUAGCCAGAGCAACAAGAGUGUUGGACAAUGACCCUCCAGCAGCCGCCUUAUAGCUGCAGCCAUCCAUAGCUUGUAAGACUCUACCCCUCUCCUCGUGAUCUAUAAGCUUCCUCGUUCCCUUUUCUAAGCCUAGUUUCUUUAGGAAGUCAUCAUCCACAACUCCAGAGAAAUCUACCUAAAACACAACAGACAGAUAAAGCUAAAACUUUUAUUGUGUGUUCAAUGAUAUGUAGGCAGCAAAGAGAGAGAGAGAGAGAGACUAACCAUGGCUUGGCCGAGACCCAAGACAUCCCAUCUGUCAGGGGAAGAAGGUGAAUUAUCAUCAUGUCCUUCUACCAAUUCCUCGUCGUCCUCGUCUUGACCUCCGAUUCUCUCGAUUUCUCCUUCAUCGAAUUCUCCGUUUCUAGAAACCAUUUGCCUCUUCUUAUCCGCCGCCGUGGACUCAAUCCUCGCCGAGCCUCUGAAACCGCCGAAAAACGAGGUCGCGGUUCUGCUGCUUCCGAGGGUUCCUUUGGGGUGAUAUAAGGAGUAAAUAGAAGAGAGAAAGGAGGCAUUUUUAGGAGCGGGGAAGGCGGAGAGAGAGGCAGAGGAAGGAAUUGGAGAGAGGAGAGAAAGGGCCAUGGAUAUAUAUAUAUAUAUAUAUAGAGAGUAAAAAAAAGGUUUUCUCUUUCGUCUUUUUGGAAGAGGGGACGAAGAAGAAGAAGCUCACAUCCCCAUCCAGCACCCGAGAGGAAGGAACACCAGAAAGUAUGGUCUCUGCAACCUCUCUGAGGAGACCACGGCUUGAGAGGAUAAAAUUAUUUCUUCUUUUUUUUUAAUAUUUAAGGAUUAGUAAUCGUGUUAAGAACAAGUACUCUAUUUUUAUAAUGGUCUGAUUUUUGACUAUUCAAACUAAAUAUUCUGAAUCAGCAUUUUGACCAUUCCUUUUUCUUCUUUUUAUCCCCGAACUAUACAAUCUUUGCUUAACCUUGAAAUUUAAAAAGUUUAAGUCUUUAAACCCAACUUGACAUUUGUUUCUUCAAACUUGAUGCCGCCAUAUGCAUAUGUUUAGCAUUUGCUAAUUCUUUCUAAUUCACAAUAUCUUUUUGUACCACUCAUUUGUUUGUCUCCUUAUCUUAUCCGGUUAGUUGCCAUUUAUUUAUAGAGAAUUACACAAAAGGAAAAGAAGCAGCGAACUAUUCAUUCCCGCCGUAAAAAUCUUCAACUACUAACUUUCCUUUACAUCAAACAUCAAAACAGAGAUAAGGUCACAAAUAAAACAAAAUCAAGACAUUCCAAAACCAAAGCUGAAGCCAGAAAAACAAAAAAAUCUCUCUUAGAGUGAGCUACUCCAAAAGAUCUCUUAGGACACUGAUUCAUUUUUUUCGAUGAAACUGGAAAUACUAAAACCAAAAAGAAGCAGCAGAAGAGAAGCAAGUAUAUGCACAAUGCUCUAACUCUUAAACCUACAAUAAUAUGUUUGGGAGCUGUGAGUCCAAUCUCUGCUGCAACUCUUUCACCUUCUCUUGAAGCUCAAUCUUCUGCUCUUUAUAGCUCCUAAGCAGAUACUCUUUCCCGUCUAUCACUUCUUUAAGCUCACUCACUUCCUUUCUCAACCUCUCUAUUCUUUCUCCCUCCCUUGUUCCCUUCUCCGCUGACUCGUAAUUGUUCUCGCUCUCCAUAAACCCGUUCCAAGGUGCAACAGGAGAUGUCUUGCCAUUGCUCACGCUGUGAUCAGCUAUAGCUUUUCUCAGUCUCUCAACUUCUCUUUCCGAUUCGAACAGAUCUCUGUUCAUCGAGUCUAGCUGAGCCUGGAGGUGGCUUGAGUGUGACAUCUGCGCGUUGUACGAGUUUUGCAGCUCUAGAAUCUGUUCCUGCAUUUCCAGUAUCAUGUCGUCUCGCCUCUUCAGCUGUUGCCUCAGUUUCUGUAUUACUUCUCGUUUGCUGAAGAUGUCUGAGCUGGUUUCAGAUACGCAAGGUGAAUCCGAGCAGGUUGAAUGGUGAUUGUAUGGUCUCGGGGGAAGUUCCAGGCGAUCAGGAGAGGAAGUCCACAUGACUCCGUUCUCUUUGCUGUAUGAUGGAGCAGGAACCGUCACAAGAGGCAGUGAAUUGUCAGAUACAGAUACCAUUUGCUCGUUUGUCUCCGCUUUUCCUUCCACAUUCUCAGUUCCUGUGAAAAGAAAAAGCAAAGUCUGCUAAGUUCCGACUGCUCUCGACUGACUACAUGGAUAGAGGAAGGGGAUUCAGAGAUUUUGUAACUUGUGGCAUUCAGCAACUAGACACAGCCCUAGUGCCAGCCUCAUUGAUGCACGUUAAUGAUAGGUUGAAUCAGUACUUAAGCGAUGACAAAUCUUAUAGCUAAAUUUAAGCACUCUGCAACUUCAAAUUGGAAUACCUAGUUUCCAACCUCAUAUAUGAACAUCAAGUAUAUGUUCUCUAAUCAGCCUUCAAAGACAUCAUUAGGCAAAGAUCAUAGACGCUAGAACUAUGUAGUAUUUUCAUUUUAGUGGCUAACACAAAGAUGUAUAAGAAAAUUCAUCUGAAAGAAAGAAAAAAAAGAAGAAGAGAAAGUAACAAAGUCAGACCUGGAACGGAGCGGAAGCAGGAAUAAUCAUUAUUCUUUGCACAGGAAGACGUGUUGGAGGAGUGCAAACAACAACAACAUCUUUGCCUCUCAGAUGUUCCAUUGGCUGCACAACAAGCUUCCAUCAAGAUACAAAACAUAUGUGAAGAAGCAGCAACGGAGAGAGGUUAAAGCAAGUACCUUUAAAUCCAGGAGAGGCAUUAGACUGAUGAGAAGGUUUGAAGUGAGGCGACUGCUUAAGCUUGUAGCCAAAGCGAAUGGACAGAGUGCUCAACAAGGCUCCACCUGCGAUUAGGAUCCAAUUAGGCCCACCUUGACCACAAACUUUCUCAGCUCUCUG
This 25531-nucleotide long non-coding RNA is filed under the name Brassica rapa (field mustard). The record is from RNAcentral. Lineage: Eukaryota; Viridiplantae; Streptophyta; Magnoliopsida; Brassicales; Brassicaceae.